This 497-nucleotide ribosomal RNA is filed under the name uncultured bacterium. Its description in RNAcentral is "partial 16S ribosomal RNA". It matches the Rfam family "Bacterial small subunit ribosomal RNA", at positions 28 to 507 of the family's 1533-position model. The record is from RNAcentral.
GAUGAACGCUGGCGGCGUGCCUAAUACAUGCAAGUCGAGCGAACAGACGAGGAGCUUGCUCCUCUGACGUUAGCGGCGGACGGGUGAGUAACACGUGGAUAACCUACCUAUAAGACUGGGAUAACUUCGGGAAACCGGAGCUAAUACCGGAUAAUAUAUUGAACCGCAUGGUUCAAUAGUGAAAGACGGUUUUGCUGUCACUUAUAGAUGGAUCCGCGCCGGAUUAGCUAGUUGGUAAGGUAACGGCUUACCAAGGCAACGAUGCGUAGCCGACCUGAGAGGGUGAUCGGCCACACUGGAACUGAGACACGGUCCAGACUCCUACGGGAGGCAGCAGUAGGGAAUCUUCCGCAAUGGGCGAAAGCCUGACGGAGCAACGCCGCGUGAGUGAUGAAGGUCUUCGGGUCGUAAAACUCUGUUAUUAGGGAAGAACAAAUGUGUAAGUAACUAUGCACGUCUUGACGGUACCUAAUCAAAAAGCCACGGCUAACUACGUG